AGCACAGUGGCGCAGUGGAAGGUUGCUGGGCCGAAACCCCAGAGGUCCGUGGAUCGAAACUACGCUCUGCUU
Trichonephila inaurata madagascariensis is the source of this 72-nucleotide non-coding RNA. NCBI's taxonomy places the organism in Eukaryota, Metazoa, Arthropoda, Arachnida, Araneae, Nephilidae. The record is from the annotation of a GenBank genome assembly.